This 253-nucleotide ribosomal RNA is filed under the name uncultured bacterium. Its description in RNAcentral is "partial 16S ribosomal RNA". It matches the Rfam family "Bacterial small subunit ribosomal RNA", at positions 524 to 776 of the family's 1533-position model. The record is from RNAcentral.
UACGUAGGGUGCGAGCGUUAAUCGGAAUUACUGGGCGUAAAGCGGGCGCAGGCGGAUUGUUAAGCAAGAUGUGAAAUCCCCGGGCUUAACCUGGGAAUGGCAUUUUGAACUGGCAGUCUAGAGUGUGUCAGAGGGGGGUGGAAUUCCACGUGUAGCAGUGACAUGCGUAGAUAUGUGGAGGAAUACCGAUGGCGAAGGCAGCAACCUGGGUCGACACUGACGCCCAUGCACGAAAGCGUGGGGAGCAAACAGG